AGGUCACUGCUAUCGGUGUUCGUCUAAGCCAUGCGAGUCAUAUGUUCUUCGUGAACAUGGCAUACUGCUCAGUAACACGUGGAUAAUCUGCCCUUGGGACCGGCAUAACCCCGGGAAACUGGGGAUAAUUCCGGAUAAACCGUAUCUGCUGGAAUGCUUUACGGUUGAAAUGGAUUCGUCCGCCCAAGGAUGAGUCUGCGGCCUAUCAGGUAGUAGCGGGUGUAAUGUACCUGCUAGCCUACGACGGGUACGGGUUGUGAGAGCAAGAGCCCGGAGAUGGAUUCUGAGACAUGAAUCCAGGCCCUACGGGGCGCAGCAGGCGCGAAAACUUUACAAUGCGGGCAACCGUGAUAAGGGGACACCGAGUGCCAGCAACAAUUGCUGGCUGUCCAUGUGCUUAAAUUGCACGUGUUAGCAAGGGCCGGGCAAGACCGGUGCCAGCCGCCGCGGUAACACCGGCGGCCCGAGUGGUGAUCGUUAUUAUUGGGUCUAAAGGGUCCGUAGCCGGUUUAGUCAGUCCUCCGGGAAAUCUGCCAGCUUAACUGGUAGGCUAUCGGGGGAUACUGCUAGACUUGGAACCGGGAGAGGUAAGAGGUACUACAGGGGUAGGAGUGAAAUCUUGUAAUCCCUGUGGGACCACCUGUGGCGAAGGCGUCUUACCAGAACGGGUUCGACGGUGAGGGACGAAAGCUGGGGGCACGAACCGGAUUAGAUACCCGGGUAGUCCCAGCCGUAAACGAUGCUCGCUAGGUGUCAGGCACGGUGCGACCGUGUUUGGUGCCGCAGGGAAGCCGUGAAGCGAGCCACCUGGGAAGUACGGCCGCAAGGCUGAAACUUAAAGGAAUUGGCGGGGGAGCACAACAACGGGUGGAGCCUGCGGUUUAAUUGGAUUCAACGCCGGGAAUC
Molecule: ribosomal RNA, 906 nt
Filed under: uncultured Methanosarcina sp.
Lineage: Archaea; Methanobacteriati; Methanobacteriota; Methanomicrobia; Methanosarcinales; Methanosarcinaceae
Description: bacterial SSU rRNA
Rfam family: Archaeal small subunit ribosomal RNA
Source: RNAcentral